RNAcentral lists this transfer RNA (64 nucleotides) under Renocera pallida. RNAcentral's name for it is "tRNA-Ile". The record is from RNAcentral. Lineage: Eukaryota; Metazoa; Arthropoda; Insecta; Diptera; Sciomyzidae.
GAUAAGGUGCCUGAAUAAAGGGUUACCAUGAUAGGGUAAAUUAUGUGAAUAAUCACCCUUAUUA